CCAAAAUGCAAGCCUGGAUCUCAUAGGACACUGCAUUAGGUGCCAAAAGACUCCUCCGGGGAUUGGCUUGCCACGCUCCACAUCCUCACACUCUGCUGGGAUUGCAACUGUCUGCCCGGCCCCAGCUGGUGGCCCUGCACUGGGAAGGAGUCAGGGGCUGUGGAAGAAUGAGAACAAAUCAAAGAAAACAGACUGAUUAAACUGGAGGAAGAAAGAAAUUUCCUCAGGAGAAAGGAUCCUUUCCAUCUGGACAACUGACAGGAGAUAAGAGAAAGACGAUAGGACCAUCUCAGCCUGAAUGGUGACACUUGUAACUUCUCAUAUUCCACGGCAAGAACUAGUCUUUUGGUCCUACCUAGAUGCAGACUCUACCACAUACAUCAACAAACAUUUCCUGAGUGCUAAUAUGUGCUGAGGCCUGCCCUGAUGCAAGGGAUACAGAAAUGAACAAAACAUAGUUCCAGUCUUUUCAGAGCUUUUAAUAGCACAGUUUUUCAUCUGGAUUCCAGAACCCCUAUCUAUACAUGUGGCUUCAAUGGGGAAGAUUGCUCAGUCCUUAUGCCAUCCUCUGGGUCUUGAUAUGUUUGCUUGACUGUACCUUGGCCCACCAGGUCCCUGGGUGUCCUGAAAUGGUCUGUGCGGAAUUGAGACUGUCACAUGGGCCAUUUGAGCAUCACUUUGGCGCUCUUGCAGAUGCAUGGCCUCCAGGUGCAAGGUGGUACAAUCACUUCAUCACUAUCAAAGGCCUCCUGUGUUCCUCCCAGCACUUCUAUGUCAUCUACUACUUAGAGAUCUUGGAAUUCACAGUUGCAUUCUCUGCAUCAUUCUGAUGUGCUAGAUCCAAUGAAGUUGUCAAGCCCAAUUGCCUAGGCCACCUGCCUUCAUCUUUGUUACUCAACCAUUCCCACAUCAUGGUGGACAGGGUAAUGUUCAAUAUGGACUUCUCUGAGAGUCUUGUAGGCUCCCUCAGGCUACACCUUUAAAAGCCUUGAAUCCUCCAAAUUUAUCUGAGUAUUUAAAAACAGCCCCUUAGCUUUUAAACCUAUUGUCUCUCCAAAGAAUUGAAAAUAUCAGAUUUGAAAUUCAAAGCUGAGCAAUGACUUCUUGGUUGGAGACAGUAUUUCUUCUUUCCUUCCUUAGAGCAGUGAGCCUUGGUCACAUGACUUAGCCUUAAUGAGAAUAGACUGCAGGGAAAGAAAAAGGGAAAAAUCUAAUGGAAGUCAUUACAAAAGCAUUAUUUGCCUAUAGAGGCAGAAGAGAGAGUUGGAGUCAAGUGUGUGAAUGAGUGUGGAAGGAGAGAGAAAAGAAAGAAGAAAGGGAUGAGGACUGAGUUGGAAGCACCUACAGUCAGGAGCAGGAGAGAAAGAGGAAAUAGAGCAGACUGAAAAAACAGUGAUCGAGACAGGAGGAGAACCAAGCUCUCAGAGUCCCCAAAUCCAAGAGAAAGAGAAGAUUUCCCAAGGGAGAGAUGAGCAGUAAAGCAAAACAUUAAAGAGAUAAGGAGAAUGCAUAUCUAAAGGGGGCCCAGAGUCUGACAAGUCCAAAGUAACUGGUAACAACUGACAGGUGUGAGUUAGGGGUAGGAUUUGGAUUAGGGUCCAGAGAUCAUCCAGUUAAGAACGUCAUAGUAGAAUAUUGCUUUCUUAGUCUAUUCCUGUGUGUGCCAAAAGUCUGAACAAACCAGAAUGGAUCUUUUUAAAAAUAGAUGUAUCAGAAAGACUGGCUAUUUAUUUUUGUUAUUAUCCCUAUGUAAAUAUUACUCAUCAUUAAUUUCAUAUUUAUCCCUAAAUAACCAAACUAGUAUACGGCCACGCUCCUAAAGUAUAUCCUUUUUAUGUGUGCAAAAGUCAUUCUCAAUCAUUGUUUUCUGUGCAUGUUACAUAAUUCUCCAUUUAAAACAUACCAAAGUUAUUGGGAUUUCAGAAGAUGGUCAUCUUAGUCCCUACUAUAAAACUCCAAGCUGGAAGAAUUUCUUAUUGUUCUAAUGAGCAUACUAAAUAUAAGAAACAACUCUUUUGUUGUCUCAAGAAUUGCUAAGCUUUAAGUAAGGGACAGACGUCAGUUUGGGGAUCAAAUGAAGGCCCAUGCUACAAAACAUUGCGUCAAUUCCAAAAGGAACUAAUGAGAAAGAAGAUUAAAUAUCACGAGUAUCUAAAGUUCAUUUCAGUGGAUACUCAAGGAAUUGGAUUUAUACCCUUGUCUUUGAUUCAGAGUUCUUGUCUCCCAAAUAAAAACAGUGAAGCUGUUUUUUCCUUGAAAUGAAGGAUGGUCCAACAACCGGUUUUGUUUGUUUGCUUGCUUGUUUGUUUGUUUUCAUAACAUGUUUGAGUAAUUCUUCAUAUUAAAGCCAUCUGGAUUUCCUCUUUUUUCUGAACUCUGCUUCUCUUUCC
Equus caballus (horse) is the source of this 2390-nucleotide long non-coding RNA. The record is from Ensembl. NCBI's taxonomy places the organism in Eukaryota, Metazoa, Chordata, Mammalia, Perissodactyla, Equidae.